AGCGUAGGCGGACUUGUAAGUCAGUGGUGAAAUCUUUGGGCUUAACCCAGAAACUGCCAUUGAUACUGCAGGUCUAGAGUACAGUUGCCGUUGGCGGAAUAUGACAUGUAGUGGUGAAAUACUUAGAUAUGUCAUAGAACACCGAUUGCGAAGGCAGCUAACGAAGCUGUAACUGACGCUGAGGCUCGAAAGUGCGGGGAUCAAACA
Molecule: ribosomal RNA, 207 nt
Filed under: uncultured bacterium
Lineage: Bacteria
Description: partial 16S ribosomal RNA
Rfam family: Bacterial small subunit ribosomal RNA
Source: RNAcentral